Molecule: non-coding RNA, 2821 nt
Organism: Macaca mulatta (Rhesus monkey)
Lineage: Eukaryota; Metazoa; Chordata; Mammalia; Primates; Cercopithecidae
Source: RefSeq, a predicted model, not a curated record
UAGAGGCUUUUGGAGCAUCAGAUUGACCCAGAAUUCCCCAUCAUUGUUUUCUGUGCAUCUUUCCCUUCCCUUGCCAUUAGAAUUUCAAUUUAAAAAGCAAUGAUUAGACCUUAAAAUGAGCCCAGAGGAGGCGAAAACGAGCUGUGAGGUCCAGGAAAAAGGUAAGUCCUCCGCAGAUAUCCCCACACCAAUUAAUUUUCUUUCCUUCUUUCUCUCUGUUCAUCCCCAGCGCUACCCUGGAGGAAAAGGAUCAAGAAUCUCAGUUCGGGAUCCUUCCUCCCUGAGCCUUCGAGCUAAGCCCACUGCCCACCGCCAAAGGCUGCCGCGGCGGAUCCGGGGCUCUUUCGGUCUCGCCGGCCGGCUGCGGCGCCGCCUUACGCUCCCGGUCUCCCUGUCUCCCUCCAUUCUUGCGUCACCCCUCCCCUAGACCAACAAAUAUCCAAUAUAUUUGUUUCUCCUCACCCCAGGCCUCCGCGCAGCCCGCUCAGCGCUCGGGGAUCGCUGCCCCCGCACCGGGUCCUUACGCGCUUUGCUUCCAGUCCCACCGACUACAGCCUCUUUCUUUGCUAGCUGCCCGGGUCCUGCUCCGCUUCGCAGUGGAAUGGAACGGAUUUAGAAGCCUGCAGUAGGGGAGUGGGGAGUGGAGAGAGGCAGCCCAGAGUUACAGACAGCGGCGAGAGAUACAGAAGACCGGGAGAUACAGAGAAAAAGAGAGGCGGGGGAGGGGAGGAGGAGGAAGGAGGGAGGGAAGGGUUCCCAGCUGGCGAGGAGCGGAGCCAGAGAGAGAAAAAGAGAGAAAAGUUUCCCAAAGUCUUCAUUAGUUGAUUUCCCUGUCCGCCGCUUUCCCCGGCCGGCUCACCCCCAGUAAAGGAAGGAGGGGCGUCUUUAUUUUUUUUAAGGCCCCAAAGAGUCCGAUGUUUACAAGACCAGAAAUGCCACGGCCGCGUCCUGGCAGAGAAAAGGCUGAAAUGGAGGACCGGCGCCUUCCUUAUAAGUUCAUUGGGGCCUGAGCCAGCACCGACCUGGUAGAAAAAGCAACCACGAAGCUAGAGAGAGAGCCAGAGGAGGGAAGAGAGCACCAGACCAAGGUGAAAGUGAACCACGCAGAGAAAUACAGGCAAGGGAGCAAGGCGGCAGUUACCGGAACAAACGUGGCAGAGGGCAAGACAGGCACUCACAGACAGAGGUUUAUGUAUUUUUAUUUUUUUUAAAUCUGAUUUGGCGUUCCAUGAGGAAAAGGGAAAAUCUGGGGAACAGGAGUACAGAGAGAAUUAUCCGGGUCCUAGCUCGCCACAUGAACGCCCAGAAGGAGAGAACGCUGGAAAAACCUGAGCGGGUGCCCGGGCAGCACCCGGCUCCGGUCAGCCGCUACCCCACACGGUGCCGGGAUGGGCCCACCAACUCCCCCCUCGCGGCCACCCGGGCUUCCUUGCUCUUCUUAUCAUCUCCAUCUUUAUGACGAGGCUUGUUAACAAGACCAGCGAGCUCGCCACGCACAUCUAUCUCAACCGCGCCUGCUCAGCCGAGCAGCGGCCGGCGCGGGGACUGGGAGGCGCUAAUUAAUUGAUUCCUUUGGACUGUAAAAUAUGGCGGUGUCUACACGGAAUCCAUGGACUCAUAAACAAUAUCUCUGUUGGGCGUGAGUGCACUGUCUCUCAAAGAAUUUUUCCAUAGGCAUGUGUCAGAGGGUUCUGGAUUUUUAGUUGCUAAGAAAAAACCCAAAUGGGACUAAUUUUAGGAGGCCCAAACAGAGUUCGUUCAGUGCCAGAAAAUGCUUCCCCAAAGGGGUUGGGAGUGUUUUGUUGGAAAAAUCCUUGGGUUAUAGGAAAGCCUUUCCAUGCUACUUGUGUAGACCCAGCCCAGUUUAAUAAUUACAAGGAAGCGAAGGGGUUGUGUAGGCCGGAAGCCUUUCUGUCCCGGCUGGAUGCAGGGGACUUGAGCUGCUCUGGGAUUUGAGAGGAACAUAGAAGCAGAGGUCCAGCCUUUGCUUCAUGCUGCCUCCUAAAGAUUCAAAAACAAAUUUUUAAAAGUGAAACCAGCCCUAGCCUUCGGAAGCUCUUGAAGUCUCAGCACCCACCCAGGAAUCCACCUGCCUGUUACACGCCUCUCCAAGCCACUGUGGCACCGCUUUUCUAACUGGCAGCACAGAGCAACUCUAUAAUAUGCUUAUAUUAGGUCUAGAAUAAUGCAUCUUGAGACACGUGGGUAACCUAAUUAUAUAAUGCUUAUUCCAUACAGGAGUGAUUAUGCAGUGGGACCCUGUUGCAAACGGGACUUUGCACUCUAAAUAUAGACCCCAGCUUGGGACAAAAGUUGCAACAGAUAAAUAGACAUAAGGGAACACUUAAAUAAGUAAUGCAUGUAGACAUAGAAGGGGUAUUUAAAAGACAGAUAUAAUAGAAGCACAGAAGAACAGAAAAAAGACUCAGCAGAUGGAGAUUACCAUUCCCAAAGCCUGAACUUCCUCCUGCUAUUAAGAUUGCUAGAGAAUUGUGCCUUAUGAACAGUUCAUGAACCCAGAAGAAUGCAAUUUCAAUGUAUUUAGUCCACACACAGUAUGUAUAUAAACACAACUCACAGAAUAUAUUUUCCAUACAUUGGGUAGGUAUGCACUUUGUGUAUAUAUAAUAAUGUAUUUUCCAUGCAGUUUUAAAAUGUAGAUAUAUUAAUAGCUGGAUGCAUUUUCUAUGCACUGGUUUUAUAUGCCUUAUGGAGUAUAUACUCACAUGUAGCUAAAUAGACUCAGGACUGCACAUUCCUUGUGUAGGAUGUGUGUGUGUGGUGGUUAUAUGUGUAAAUAAAGUUUUACAUGUGGUGAAUA